CAGGUCUCACAGGCGAAUGACUGCAAGGUGAAAAAAGGAGCUGAUAUCCUGUGAGCUACACUGCAAAACAGAGCCUAUUACAGAACUCACAUGACUUGAAGAGUCUAGGCUGCUGCAUCCCUGAAACAGCCUUGUUCAGCAGACAAGAGUGUGUGUGUGAGAGAGAGCGAGAGAGAGAGAGAGAAAGAGAGCGUGCGAGAGAGAGAGUGAACAAGGAUGGAUCCAGACGCCCACUUCGCUGCAAUGGGCCAGGAAACAGCUAUUACGUAACAGCAU
Molecule: long non-coding RNA, 276 nt
Filed under: Astyanax mexicanus (Mexican tetra)
Lineage: Eukaryota; Metazoa; Chordata; Actinopteri; Characiformes; Acestrorhamphidae
Description: lncRNA (ENSAMXG00005005693.1)
Source: RNAcentral